RNAcentral lists this ribosomal RNA (1457 nucleotides) under uncultured Bordetella sp. Its description in RNAcentral is "partial 16S-23S ribosomal RNA intergenic spacer". It matches the Rfam family "Bacterial small subunit ribosomal RNA". The record is from RNAcentral. Lineage: Bacteria; Pseudomonadati; Pseudomonadota; Betaproteobacteria; Burkholderiales; Alcaligenaceae.
GAGAGUUUGAUUCUGGCUCAGAUUGAACGCUGGCGGGAUGCUUUACACAUGCAAGUCGAACGGCAGCACGGACUUCGGUCUGGUGGCGAGUGGCGAACGGGUGAGUAAUGUAUCGGAACGUGCCUAGUAAGGGAUAACUACGGCGUAGCUAUUCCGCAUACGCCCUUCCCGGGAAAGCGGGGACCUUCCGGGCCUCACGCUAUUAGAGCGGCCGAUAUCGGAUUAGCUAGUUGGUGGGGUAACGGCUCACCAAGGCGACGAUCCGUAGCUGGUUUGAGAGGACGACCAGCCACACUGGGACUGAGACACGGCCCAGACUCCUGCAGGAGGCAGCGGUGGGAGCUGGACAAUGAAGCCUGAUCCAGCCAUCCCGCGUGUCGAUGAAGGCCUUCAGGACGUAAAGCACUUUGGCAGGAAAGAAACAUGCGGGAUAAUACCCCGUGCAACUGACGGACCACCUGCAGAAUAAGCACCGGCUAACUACGUGCCAACAGCCGCGGUAAUACGUAGGGUGCAAGCGUUAAUCGGAAUUACUGGGCGUAAAGCGUGCGCAGGCGUUCGGAAAGAUGUGAAAUCCCGAACCAACCUGGUUACAUUUUUAACGCUACCGAGCUAGAGUGUGUCAGAGGAGAGGUGGAAUUCCGCGUGUAGCAGUGAAAUGCUGUAGAAUAUGCGGAGGAACACCGAUACGAAAACAGCCUCCUGGGAUAACACUAACGCUCAUGCACGAAAAGCGGCAGGGCAAACAGGUCCGAAUGCCCUGGUAGUCCGCCCUAAACGAUGUCAACUAGCUAUUUGAGGGCCUUCGGGCCUUGUGGCGCAACUAACGCGUGAAGUUGACCGCCUGGGGAGUACGGUCGCAAGAUUAAAACUCAAAGGAAUUGACAGGGACCCGCACAAGCAGUGGAUGAUGUGGAUUAAUUCGAUGCAACGCGAAAAAGCCUUACCUACCCUUGACAUGUCUGGGAUACAGAAAGGUACAAGGAGUGCUCGCAAGAGAACCGGAACACAGGUGCUGCAUGGCUGUCGUCAGUAUUGUCGUGAGAUGUUGGGUUAAGUCCCGCAGCGAGCGCAACCCUUGUCAUUGGUUGCUACGAAAGGGCGCGCUCUCUCAAUGAGAUUUGCCGGUGACAAACCGGAGGAAGGUGGGGAUGACGUCAAGUCCUCAUGACCCUUAUGGGUAGACUACUGCGUCUUUAAUGGUCGGGACAGAAGGGUCAUAACCGCGAGGGGGAGCCAAUCACAGAAACCCGAUCGUAGUCCGGAUCGCAGUCUGCAACUCGACUGCGUGAAGUCGGAAUCGCUAGUAAUCGCGGAUCAGCAUGUCGCGGUGAAUACGUUCCGGGUCUUGUACACACCCGUCACUGCAUGGGUGGUUUACCAGAAGUAGUUAGCUAACCGUAAGGAGGGCGAUUACCACGGUAGGAUUCAUGACUGGGGUGAAGUCGUAACAAGGU